Non-coding RNA from Bos taurus (domestic cattle), 73 nucleotides. The record is from Rfam. NCBI's taxonomy places the organism in Eukaryota, Metazoa, Chordata, Mammalia, Artiodactyla, Bovidae.
UCCUUGAUGAUCCAGUGGUUAAGACUCCAUGCUUCCAAAGCAGGGGGCUUGGGUUCAAUCCCUGGUCAAGGAA